This is a long non-coding RNA of Anopheles coluzzii, 648 nucleotides long. RefSeq lists it as uncharacterized. NCBI's taxonomy places the organism in Eukaryota, Metazoa, Arthropoda, Insecta, Diptera, Culicidae. The transcript is spliced from 2 exons. The record is from RefSeq and is a predicted model, not a curated record.
UCGUAUAGCCGUCUCGCUUCUUCUUGUGUGUGCUUUACCGUUGCUGACCGCUUCAAGAACAUUGCUGCUCACACACACGUCAGUCUGUGGCAAACAAUUGGAGGGGGAGGAUGUGUCGGUUUGCUCCAGAAAUCGUGUGUGAUUUUGGUGUUCUGGAUUUGGUUCCAUCCCUGUUUGUUUUGGUGAAAUUGAAAAGGUAAGACUCAUAGACCGAUGUAAAAGUGUGAGAGUAAAGUGAUGUUGAUGGUGACUGAUGCUUUUAUUUGUUUCUUUUCCUGCUUUCAUCCACUGAUGGUGUCGAGCAUCGCCGAGGAUGUGAUCGAAUGCGGAAUAUUCGAAACGAGGAGAUUCAUUCCGGAUUUUGUUUGCAAUAAGCGCUGAACUAAUCCUCCAGCUUACAGGACGGCAAAGGUACACGCACAAACGUGCACACAUCAGCCUUCUCGGAGAACGAGAACACGGGAGGGAGAGACCGGCAACGUAUAGAACCUUUACGCUCCCUCGUGCGUUCGUGCGUGCGUGCGCGCGCGCGUCUAUGUGUGUGUAUGUGUGUGCAUGCCUGCGUGCGUGGCUGUGUGUGUUUUUGCCGCUUCGCAUAACGAGAUCCUACGGGAUCACCUUGCGAAAAACACCAAGAGAGGGGGAGGG